RNAcentral lists this ribosomal RNA (322 nucleotides) under uncultured eukaryote. Its description in RNAcentral is "partial 18S ribosomal RNA". It matches the Rfam family "Eukaryotic small subunit ribosomal RNA", at positions 1470 to 1796 of the family's 1831-position model. The record is from RNAcentral.
CCCUUAGAUGUUCUGGGCCGCACGCGUGCUACACUGAGUGGAUCAGCGGGUCAGGUUGCGCGAAAGUGUUUCCUAAUCUUGAAAUCCGCUCGUGAUGGGGAUUGACGGUUGCAAUUUUCCGUCAUGAACGAGGAAUACCUUGUAAGCGCGGGUCAUCAUCCCGCGCUGAAUACGUCCCUGCCCUUUGUACACACCGCCCGUCGCUCCUACCGAUUGAGUGGUCCGGUGAGGCUUUGGGCUCUGAGCAAAAAGAGCGUUUCGCUCGUUUGGCUCGGAAAACUCAGUCGAACCUUAUCAUUUAGAGGAAGGAGAAGUCGUAACA